Molecule: long non-coding RNA, 1291 nt
Organism: Daphnia carinata
Lineage: Eukaryota; Metazoa; Arthropoda; Branchiopoda; Diplostraca; Daphniidae
Exons: 4
Source: RefSeq, a predicted model, not a curated record
CAUAACAAAGGCUUGUUUCCGACGAGUGAAUCUAUCUAAAAAAAAACAUCUGUAAAUCAAUAUAUAAACAUAUUUACUCAUUUUUUAAAUUUUGUAACAAAGAAUCAUGCCCUUUCUGGUUGUAUCAUUACCUUUUUGCUGUACUGUUAAUAUCCACAGGUGCUUUAAAUAUUUUAAACUAGGGAAUCAUUUACCUACUAGAUGCAUGGAUGUACCGUUAUCUGGGCAACUGACCUGAACCUCGUAACCCUGUUCAGAAUCAUCACAAAUCUAAGCCUACAACCACUGAAGCUUAAUCCAAAUUAAAAACUUAAGGCAAAAAACUGUUGUGAAUCCAAGCCAAUACUUGGAAUCCCAUACCUGCAAUUGACAUUCAAGCAAGGCACUACACUGUUUAAGGCUUUCAGUUCUAGCAGAACUUUCAUCAUCUUUUAGAAAUGGUUCCAAUUCACUUCCAAACUGGUUUCUAUCAUGUUUUAAGCAAUCGAACCAUGCCAUCUGCUAUUCUUUGAAUUCCAACUAUGAAAAUAAGCAUGGAUUGCAAAUAUGAUAACAGCUUGUUAAAUUGCUAGAAAACCAAGUCGAAGACUACACUGGACUGCAUGCAACGGCAGUGCAACGAACGUGCUCGUAACAAUUCAUAUGCCACACCAUGGUUUGAAUCGUCUUCCAUAAUAUUACACGACAUGCAACACAAAUGAUACUACAUAUUACGGAAGUAUUACGGGCGAAAACCGGAUUCUAUGUUUAAAGUGCUGAAUAGCAUGAGCUAAAUACAACAAACGUAAAAAUGAAUAGUUCGCGUGAAAGAAUGGCUGAAAUCGAAACGCCUUGUAAGACACUACAUAUUGUAUACAAGGAAAUCUUCACGCUUCGUGUAGCUCUGAGCAAAUGCCAAUCCAUUUUCAGUUGGAUCUGAGAAAGCCAACUCGUCGGGUGAAAUAAUUUUGCCAUAAACGAAUUCUGUUCUCAUGGCAUCCAGUAAUCGUGAUGCAAUUUUACGACGACGGAAUGUUGGAAGAAUCCAAAUACGACUAAUACCACAAAGGGCUGGAGAAGGAUCAGCAGAGCAGCAUUUCCCAGACGAAGCUCCAGUUGAUGUCAUCAUUCGAUGUCCCUGAGUUACGCUAUGGGCGACGAGAACCCCAACUAUUUUUUUAUCCGCAAUGUACAGGGUUACGAAUUCCUAUCUCAGAAAAUCCAAGCUCGUUAUCAACCACCUUAGUUAAAACAUUUUCUAUUUUCUUCCAGCAAUGAACUGCAUCCCCAUGAUGGACUGCUAUAAUAUAUC